CAGCCUGGCCCCUUGGCCUGCCUGCACUUGUCCCAGCCCUGGGCCCUGAGGUCACGGAGACCUCCUGAAAUCUGUGCCCAGGGGAGCUGUUCAAGGGCAGACAGGCCUGAUGAGGUGCUAAUUUCAGAGCUAAUUGGAACCAGUGAGCUACAGAUGGCCUAGUCAACAGGAGGUGGGGACUGCAUGAAGGGGGCUGCCAGUGGAAGGGAGCCAGGAGGAGUAACCAGCAUCUAGGGUGGGACAGAGGAGGAGCGUGUGCCUGUGGAGCUGGUGCAGACCUGGUGUGGUGCAAAGGCUUGAUGGCCACCUCUCUGCACAUGACCCUCGGGGUAGAGAGAAAAAGGACAAGGACAGGACCUCCUGGAGCUCAAAGUCAGUUGACACUCCAGAGCUCUGUACAGUUUACAAGCAAUUUCC
Molecule: long non-coding RNA, 417 nt
Filed under: Equus caballus (horse)
Lineage: Eukaryota; Metazoa; Chordata; Mammalia; Perissodactyla; Equidae
Description: lncRNA (ENSECAG00000048375.1)
Source: RNAcentral